GAAUUGGUCCAGCAUUAGCCUAGAUCUAGGGAUCCGUAUUAGGGUUCCGUUAUAGCAGGUAUAUAUUAUAUCAGAGGGAAAAGCAGAACCAAGGCAGAACGAGUAUCUCAAAGUCAUUUAGAAUAAUCUAAUUAGGGUAAGGUGAAU
Molecule: long non-coding RNA, 147 nt
Organism: Octopus sinensis (East Asian common octopus)
Lineage: Eukaryota; Metazoa; Mollusca; Cephalopoda; Octopoda; Octopodidae
Exons: 3
Source: RefSeq, a predicted model, not a curated record